AACUCACUGCACUUAGGCACUGGACUACCUGAAUUUUUAAUUCAGUGACGGAAGGUUGCUGGGUGUAGUCAAGUACUUGACAUAUCGGUGCGUGUGUCAAGAUGGGAUUGACCACUCCAGUUUAGGAGCUGUGUACAGUCAUGUUUCAAUUUAGUAAAAUCUUGGCCAGGGUAGUCUUUGUGAGGAGUCACAGGACUGUUUGAGUUGAGCACGAUUCGGAUGAUCUAAUCAGGGUGGACAGUUUAACCCUGAGUCAUCCUAAACACA
This 267-nucleotide long non-coding RNA is filed under the name Elaeis guineensis (African oil palm). RNAcentral's name for it is "long non-coding RNA (EGUI_LNC077254)". Lineage: Eukaryota; Viridiplantae; Streptophyta; Magnoliopsida; Arecales; Arecaceae. The record is from RNAcentral.